Long non-coding RNA from Protopterus annectens (West African lungfish), 311 nucleotides. RefSeq lists it as uncharacterized. The transcript is spliced from 3 exons. NCBI's taxonomy places the organism in Eukaryota, Metazoa, Chordata, Ceratodontiformes, Protopteridae. The record is from RefSeq and is a predicted model, not a curated record.
UUAAUAUGUAGAAUUCCACGCAGUAUAACAGUGUCUGCUGCCACAUUGUGUGAGAUUUCAUUGCUAAAUGCCAAGGAUGUGUUUCAUCUGUUUGCUUAUUAUCCUGAAGCCGAGAAAAUGGUUCUUCAGAAGGUCAGUAUGCGCAUCCAGAACUCACUUCAUCCAAUCAGAGAAGCUUUUGACAUCGGGGUUGCUAGUAAUCCCAGGCAUGUUGUAUUCCACAAAGACCUUGGAAAAAAUGUAAAGGUGAAGAAGACCGGACCUGGAAUAGUGCCCUGUGCAUCGAGCAGAUGCGCAGGCUUGAGGAGCAG